GGAGGGCGUUUACCACGGUGUGGUCCAUGACUGGGGUGAAGUCGUAACAAGGUAACCGUAGGGGAACCUGCGGUUGGAUCACCUCCUUACG
RNAcentral lists this ribosomal RNA (91 nucleotides) under Gilliamella apis. RNAcentral's name for it is "partial 16S ribosomal RNA". It matches the Rfam family "Bacterial small subunit ribosomal RNA", at positions 1445 to 1533 of the family's 1533-position model. Lineage: Bacteria; Pseudomonadati; Pseudomonadota; Gammaproteobacteria; Orbales; Orbaceae. The record is from RNAcentral.